CUCUAGCAUUUCCAGUAUUAGAGGCACUGCCUGCCCAGUGACAUCAGUUAAACGGCCGCGGUAUCCUGACCGUGCAAAGGUAGCAUAAUCAUUUGUUCCUUAAAUAGGGACUUGUAUGAAUGGCCACWCGAGGGCUUUACUGUCUCUUACUUCCAAUCCGUGAAAUUGACCUUCCCGUGAAGAGGCGGGAAUAUGACAAUAAGACGAGAAGACCCUAUGGAGCUUUAAUUAACCGACCCAAAGAGAUCUUGAUAAUCAACCGACAGGGAUAACAUACCUCUACCAUGGGCCGACAAUUUAGGUUGGGGUGACCUCGGAGAAUAAAACAACCUCCGAGUGAUUUAAAUCUAGACUAACUAGUCGAAAGUACUACAUCACUUAUUGAUCCAAAAACUUGAUCAACGGAACAAGUUACCCUAGGGAUAACAGCGCAAUCCUAUUUUAGAGUCCAUAUCGACAAUAGGAU
Molecule: ribosomal RNA, 466 nt
Filed under: Panthera onca (jaguar)
Lineage: Eukaryota; Metazoa; Chordata; Mammalia; Carnivora; Felidae
Description: partial 16S ribosomal RNA
Rfam family: Bacterial large subunit ribosomal RNA
Source: RNAcentral